GAUGAACGCUGGCGGCGUGCCUAAUACAUGCAAGUCGAGCGAACAGACGAGGAGCUUGCUCCUCUGACGUUAGCGGCGGACGGGUGAGUAACACGUGGAUAACCUACCUAUAAGACUGGGAUAACUUCGGGAAACCGGAGCUAAUAUCUGAUAAUAUAUUGAACCGCAUGGUUCAAUAGUGAAAGACGGUUUUGCUGUCACUUAUAGAUGGAUCCGCGCCGCAUUAGCUAGUUGGUAAGGUAACGGCUUACCAAGGCAACGAUGCGUAGCCGACCUGAGAGGGUGAUCGGCCACACUGGAACUGAGACACGGUCCAGACUCCUACGGGAGGCAGCAGUAGGGAAUCUUCCGCAAUGGGCGAAAGCUUGACGGAGCAACGCCGCGUGAGUGAUGAAGGUCUUCGGAUCGUAAAACUCUGUUAUUAGGGAAGAACAAAUGUGUAAGUAACUAUGCACGUCUUGACGGUACCUAAUCAGAAAGCCACGGCUAACUACGUG
Molecule: ribosomal RNA, 497 nt
Filed under: uncultured bacterium
Lineage: Bacteria
Description: partial 16S ribosomal RNA
Rfam family: Bacterial small subunit ribosomal RNA
Source: RNAcentral